UUGCCCUAGUAACGGCGAGUGAAGCGGCAACAGCUCAAAUUUGAAAUCUGGCGCAAGCCCGAGUUGUAAUUUGUAGAGGAUGCUUCGGGGCAGCGGCCGGUCUAAGUUCCUUGGAACAGGACGUCACAGAGGGUGAGAAUCCCGUACGCGACCGGCUGGCACCCCACAUGUAGCUCCUUCGACGAGUCGAGUUGUUUGGGAAUGCAGCUCUAAAUGGGAGGUAAAUUCCUUCUAAAGCUAAAUACCGGCCAGAGACCGAUAGCGCACAAGUAGAGUGAUCGAAAGAUGAAAAGCACUUUGGAAAGAGAGUUAAAAAGCACGUGAAAUUGUUGAAAGGGAAGCGCUUGCAACCAGACUUGACGGCGGCGUUCCUCCGGUCUUCUGACCGGUCCACUCGUCGCCGGCAGGCCAGCAUCGUCUGGGGCCGCCGGAGAAAGGCGCGGGGAAUGUGGCUCCUCCGGGAGUGUUAUAGCCCCACGUACAAUACGGCGCGCCCCGGGCGAGGUCCGCGCUUCGGCUAGGAUGCUGGCGUAAUGGUCGUAAGCGGCCCGUCUUGAAACACGGACCAAGGAGUGGACCAUCUGUGCGAGUGUUCGGGCGUCAAACCCCUACGCGUAAUGAAAGUGAACGGAGGCGGGAACCUAGGGUGCACCGUCGACCGAUCCUGAUGUCCUCGGAUGGAUUUGAGUAAGAGCAUGGCUGGUCCGACCCGAAAGAUGGUGAACUAUGCCUGAAUAGGGUGAAGCCAGAGGAAACUCUGGUGGAGGCUCGCAGCGGUUCUGACGUGCAAAUCGAUCGUCAAAUUUGGGUAUAGGGGCGAAAG
This 823-nucleotide ribosomal RNA is filed under the name Castanedospora pachyanthicola. RNAcentral describes it as "eukaryotic LSU rRNA". It matches the Rfam family "Eukaryotic large subunit ribosomal RNA", at positions 75 to 929 of the family's 3401-position model. The record is from RNAcentral. Lineage: Eukaryota; Fungi; Ascomycota; Dothideomycetes; Capnodiales.